RNAcentral lists this unclassified non-coding RNA (742 nucleotides) under Cordia sp. PX106. Its description in RNAcentral is "partial contains small subunit ribosomal RNA, internal transcribed spacer 1, 5.8S ribosomal RNA, internal transcribed spacer 2, and large subunit ribosomal RNA". The record is from RNAcentral. Lineage: Eukaryota; Viridiplantae; Streptophyta; Magnoliopsida; Boraginales; Cordiaceae.
CAUUUAGAGGAAGGAGAAGUCGUAACAAGGUUUCCGUAGGUGAACCUGCGGAAGGAUCAUUGUCGAAUCCUACAAACAAACACGACCGGCGAACUUGUUCAACUACUCGGGGUCGAGGCGCGGGCGGCAGCGAUGCCCUUCCCGUCUCGCUCCAAAGUCGGGGUGCGAGCCCCGCAACAAACGAACCCCGGCGCGAAAAGCGCCAAGGAAUACUGAAAGCGGGGGCCUUCCUCUCCCUGCCCCGUUCGCGGAGCGCGGGGCGAGGCAACGGCUUCUUUUCGAACGAAAAAACGACUCUCGGCAACGGAUAUCUCGGCUCUCGCAUCGAUGAAGGACGUAGCGAAAUGCGAUACUUGGUGUGAAUUGCAGAAUCCCGUGAACCAUCGAGUCUUUGAACGCAAGUUGCGCCCGAAGCCGUCAGGCCGAGGGCACGUCUGCCUGGGCGUCACGCAUCGCGUCGCCCCCCGCACUGCCUCGYCUCCUGAGGGCGAGUCGCCAGUGUGCCGGGGCGGACCGUGGCUUCCCGUGCCAUUUUCCCGGCGCGGUUGGCCGAAAUGCGAGUCUGGGGCGAAGGACGUCACGACAAGUGGUGGUUGGAACUUUCAACUCUCGUGCUGUCGUGCCUUGUUCGUUCGCCCGACGGAGACUGAUGAGACCCUGACGCGCUUGUCUCGUUCCGACGGAAGGAGCCACGCGUUACGACCGCGACCCCAGGUCAGGCGGGACUACCCGCUGAGUUUAA